GCCAGACUGCGGCAAAGUUAUAUACAUUUUCACAACAAUUCUGUAUCUGGGAAUUUAUGCUACAAAAUUAUAUAGAAAAAAAUUGAUGUUGUUACAAGUAUAGCUACUGCAACCAUUAAAUGUCAUGCAGAGUUAAAAAGAAAAAUGAAUCUUUAUGAGUUGGUCUAAGAAUAUCUUCAAGGUACAAAAUUAUGGCUAUAACCUGGGUUCAUCUGAGCAUAUGUAGUCUUUUUAUAUGUUUUUAAAGUAAGUGUUUCUACAUACACAUCCCUAUUUUAUUAAGGAAAUCAACAUUUUCAUAACCUAUUUCAUGUUUGCUUAUUCCCUUAUAGGAAAAAUAUACAUGAAAAGCCACAGUGGUAUGAAUUAGUCAUAAAACUUCCAUAAUUUUACAAAUAAUCAGACUGAGAUUGUCAACAGGAACCCAGUGACAGUGAUGAGAAUUUACUGUAGGGCUGGGGAUGUUGCUCAGUGGUGUGACUCCUGUCUAGCAUGUACAAGGCCCUGGGUUCAACCUCCA
Molecule: long non-coding RNA, 520 nt
Filed under: Marmota monax (woodchuck)
Lineage: Eukaryota; Metazoa; Chordata; Mammalia; Rodentia; Sciuridae
Source: RNAcentral